GAUAAUAUAGUUAUACAAAUGGCAGUGAAUACAGAAAAAUUGCUUUUGUUGUUCACAACAUUUAGUUGUUAUUUCAUGAUAUGUAAAACUGUUAGCAAUGACUUAGAAGAUAGCUGUAUACAAAUGUACAAGACGAAUGAAAUUAUAUAUAACUUGAGUCCAGUUAAAAGAGACAUUAUUUUUAUGUGUUUUGUUAUUAUUACUAAAUACG
Molecule: long non-coding RNA, 211 nt
Organism: Adelges cooleyi (spruce gall adelgid)
Lineage: Eukaryota; Metazoa; Arthropoda; Insecta; Hemiptera; Adelgidae
Exons: 4
Source: RefSeq, a predicted model, not a curated record